UACGUAGGGUGCAGGCGUUAAUCGGAAUUACUGGGCGUAAAGCGUGCGCAGGCGGUUUGUUAAGACAGGUGUGAAAUCCCCGGGCUUAACCUGGGAACUGCACUUGUGACUGCACGGCUGGAGUGCGGCAGAGGGGGAUGGAAUUCCGCGUGUAGCAGUGAAAUGCGUAGAUAUGCGGAGGAACACCGAUGGCGAAGGCAAUCCCCUGGGCCUGCACUGACGCUCAUGCACGAAAGCGUGGGGAGCAAACAGG
RNAcentral lists this ribosomal RNA (253 nucleotides) under uncultured bacterium. RNAcentral's name for it is "partial 16S ribosomal RNA". It matches the Rfam family "Bacterial small subunit ribosomal RNA", at positions 524 to 776 of the family's 1533-position model. The record is from RNAcentral.